UCUUCCUUCUCUCUUCUCGCUGUUUUGUUCGCUACUGUGUCUUCCAUUUUCAUUCUCUAUCUCUCUGAUUUUUGUUCUUAGAUUAGGUUACUUUUUCUUUACUUAGAAAUCAAAGGCAGAACUUCACUGGGAGAGCAAUGGUGAUAGCAAAAGUGAUUCAAAUCCAUGUAAAUGUAAGGACUGUUUCUGAGUCUCUUUGAUUUUCCCAUCUGAUAUGCAAAUUUUAGUGCAUUUGAGUCAGAUGGGUUGAAAAGAUCUGUGUGCUUGUUAUAAAACUAAAUUAGAAAUGGCAGUUGCUGGCGUGCAUAAUGUGGCUGUGCAAUCUACUUUCCUAAGGGAAUCCCAUUCUCAAUCAUCUGGGAGGCAGGGAGAUGGAGGGAGGGGAGGCACCCGGUCGCCUUCGGUCUUGCAAAUGUGGCGAGAGAUUGAAGAUGAGCAGGUAGUGAGACAAGUUCAAGGAAGACCUGGGGAGGUACAAAGGAGUGAUGGGUUGGUUGUGGACCUCUCACAGGAAAAUGUGCCCAAUAGCAGCAACCAGAGAGAAGAGCAUAUGAUAGAGGAUGCAGUUUUGGGUGAGAAUGAUUCUGAAACCUGGUCGCAAAGUCAGAAUGAGUUCCAUGAUGAACAGGAGGAAUUAAACAAUUCUAGCCGUGAAACCUCCUCUGAUUUUGGAGUAGUUGAAAGGGAAAGAGUGAGACAAAUAUUCAGGGAAUGGAUGAAUAGUGGUUCUAGGGGUCAUGCAUCGAAUAAUUCCCAAGGAAAUAAUUCAAGGGGAGAAUGGCUGGGGGAAACUGAGCAGGAAAGGGUGAGUGCCACAAGGGAGUGGGUACAGAUGAGUAGCCAUCAGAGAGGUGUUUCUUCUGGGGAAAAUAGGGAAGAGCAAUCUUCUGAAAAUGGUACCCAAAUUGAAUGUGUUCGUGAUGGAUUUGUUGUUAAUCAGAACGAGGGCCAAUGCCAAACUGAGCAUACACGGAGGGGAAUCCGUAAAUUAUGGGGUCGACAGGUGUUUCUUGAUAUGCUUAAGAAGGCUGAGAUGGAAAGACAAAGAGAAGUACAGGAACUGUUGGACCAUCGAGUUGUAUCUCAUUUUCCCCAUCGCAAUCGCAUUCAGGCCUUGCUUAGAGGCAGGUUCUUGAGAAAUGAUAGAUCGAUUGAUAAUAACAGGUCCACUUCCAUUGCAGAAAGUGAAUUAGGCUUAUUGAGACAAAAGCAGACUGUAUCAGGUCUAAGGGAAGGUUUCGUUUUUAGAAAGGACAAUUUUGGUUGUAGUCAUGCAACCAGUAACACAUCUGAUACCUCAUCCGAGAACGACAUUGAUGUUAAUACAAUUGAAGACACUGGAGCUAGCAGCUCACAAGCAGUCCCAACUGUACAUUCUCAACAAUCUGAACCUAAUAACAGGGUAAGUGAUGGACUUGAGAUAUCAGGUGAUCAGAUUUGUUCAAAAGGAACCAUUUGUGAGAAUUUAGAUUGGCAAGGCUCUACUGCUCAUGUGGAAGCAAGAGAUUUGGAAUCAUCUUUCAGUACCAGGGUUGAAAGAGGAGAUGGCACUGGAGGAAAUGUUGAUAUGAUGCCAACUGAAAAUCCUUCUAAUGACUGUAGUCAACUAAGCUUGCAAAUUGAAGAUACAGAGCAUGACAAUAUGCAUGAGUUUAGUGAGGUACAUACUGAGCAAUCUCAGCGGGGUGAUAUAAAUAAUGAUGAAAGCAAUUUUUCAAAUCAUGAUGAUCGUGUAUACAGCAAUAUUGUUGAUGAUGUAGAUUUGAUUGAAUCUAUUGCUCUGGAAGGGGAGCAACAGGAAGAAGUUAUUAUUGAAAAUGACGGAAGUGACUGGCAUCAAAGUGUGGAUGAUAUUCAGCUCAGUAGCACAACAAAUGAAUGGCCCCAAAACAUAUUGGGAAGUGAAGAUGGAGAAAAUUCUCGUAUGCAGGAGCAAGAAGUCCCUGAAGUGUGGCAAGAGGAUGGUGGCUUUCAAGAGGCUGUGGAAAUUUGGUUAGGAGGACCUUCUGAUAAUGAAGUAGCUCCAGUUGGUAGAAUUCAUGGAUUUUAUUUUCCUGAAGAUGACAAUGUAUACAGUGUUGAACUCAGGGAAUUGCUAAGUAGGAGAAGUGUCUCAAACCUCCUUCGCAGCAGUUUUCGUGAAAGUCUUGAUCAAUUAAUACAAUCAUAUGUUGAAAGGCAAGGUCAUGCUCACGUUGAAUGGGAGCUGCAAGAGACAACCCCUUCUUCUCCCUUGGCAGAACAAGUAUCGGGGCAACGGAGUAGGGGUCCAAUUGUUGGUCCUCAGGCUACUGUUAAUAGCUCACUUAACAGACCCUUGCCACCAACGCCUCCGCCUCAGCCUUUAUGGGAUCGGCACUCACGUCAUGACAAUUGGUCCCAGAGUGACAUAAAUAAUCAGCGCUUAGGAAUUGUGCGUUCAUUUGCCGGACAUAACUGCUUUUCUUUAGCUGAUGAGUGGGAUAUUGUUAAUGACUUGAGAAUUGACAUGGUUAGGCUACAACAAAGGAUGAAUAAUAUGCAGAGAAUGCUGGAGGCCUGUAUGGAUAUGCAGCUUGAGUUGCAACGCUCAAUAAGACAAGAAGUCUCUGCAGCCCUAAAUCGCUCAACUGGUUCAUCAGUCUUAGAUGACCAAAUGGAAUUCAUCACAGGAAUACAAAACCGUGUUUCACCAGACGAUAAAUCUAAAUGGGAAUGUGUGAGGAAAGGACUUUGUUGUAUAUGCUGCGAAAGCAAUAUUAAUUCUUUGUUGUACAGAUGUGGGCACAUGUGCACAUGUUCAAAAUGUGCCAAUGAUUUGCUCCAAAGUAGAAGAAAGUGUCCAAUGUGUCAAGCACCAGUGGUGGAAGUGAUACGAGCUUAUUCUAUACAAUAGUUUUGACAUUAAAGGGUCACACAUAUAACAGAAUACAGGAUCCUAACAAGUUCUAUCUCCUGGACGUUUCCAGCGUAUUGUGUGUAGGUUUCUUGAUGAAGAAAUAAGCAGAAUUUACGUUACAAGUGAUGGCUCAGUUCACGCUUGGGUUAUGUAAUAUCUAGAAAAACAAUUUUUUCCCACAACUAUUUGGCAUUAUUUUGUAUAGAAUUGACAUUUUUUCCCCACAUAUAGUAUUUCUUACAAGGUA
RNA transcript from Glycine soja, 3125 nucleotides. RefSeq lists it as uncharacterized. The transcript is spliced from 9 exons. NCBI's taxonomy places the organism in Eukaryota, Viridiplantae, Streptophyta, Magnoliopsida, Fabales, Fabaceae. The record is from RefSeq and is a predicted model, not a curated record.